AAGAGUAUCUCCUUUCAUUCUCUGAAUAGCCCGUUAAUGAUGAUAUGCUCUUUUUGGUUGAAGAUCAAUCUUCUCUGGGCACAGCGAGGUCGAGAACAUAUCAGACCUCACAUAACUUAUGAGUAGUGAAGCUGGGACUUGCACUCAAACAAUCUGAUUCUAAAGCUCAUACUUGAACACUGCCCUGUAUGUACCUCAUUUAACCCUCCCAACCCUGAGACCUAGGUACCAUUAUUAUCGGUUCUGUUUUCCAAACGAGAAACCGGAAGCUCAGGAAAGCACUCUUCCUAACAGACACUAAAUGCAGACCAGAAUUCUGUGAUCCUGGGCAUGUCACUUCAUCCAUCCCCCCAUUGUCUGUCCUUCAUUAUUAGUUCAACAGGCAGUGGCAAGUGUUUAUUCUGUCUGAGGGAUCGUCUUGUCCCUAAAGAUGAAAAGACGUAUAAAAUAUGGCCCCUGCUCUUCAAGAACCUGUAAUCCAGAGAGGGAGGAGAACGCCUCUACAAUAAGAAACACGGUUGCGGUGUGUGAGGCGCUCUAAGAGGUAUGCGUGAAGAGCUGUAGGAACCCAGAGGAGAAAGCAUCACGCUACCUGGUGAAGUAACCAAGGAAGGCCUAGAGAGGAAGGGACGUUGUACUGUAACUCUUCGCUCCCCGGAUAGAAAAGGGAGGGUGGUACUUGAAGCAGAGAGACCAUCAAAGGCAAAAAAGUAGUAUAGGAUAAGAACAGCUCAGAUGCUGGUGCCUUCCGAGGCGUUCACUUCCAUCUCUAUAAUCUCCACAACAGCUCUGAGUGGGUAUUAUCAUUCAUGGGCACACAGAGGGCUUGCCUACGUGCCUGUGAACUCAUAGGAGCCUGUCCAUGAUCACGCAGCUAAUAAGGAAUCAAGCUGGGGUUCAAUCCCAGGCUGUCUGGCUUCGGAACCCACACCCUUAGCCACUCUGCUCGGAGUGUUUGGGGUCACCGGCCAGUAGCUGUUCAUGGGGUGUUAGAGGCAAUGGGGCGGGCCACAUGAGCAGGAAGUAGGUCCAAAGUGUCUUCCUUUCUUCAUAAGGCCUUAGCUGUUCUUGAUCCAAAGACCCUGGACCUCUUGGGAUUCAUAAAAAUAAUAAUGCCAUUGGUGUGUGUGUGUGUGUGUGUGUGUGUGUGCGCCCAUGGGUAAGUGCAUGCUGGGGAGGGGCCUCCACCUCUCUCUAUAUGGAUGCUGUACAGAGGAACUGAUACAUCAACUUUACUUGCUAUUGACUGGAACGCUAUCUGCUUACUGUAGAAAUAUUGUGUGUCUUAUACUCUGUGGAAUUCUCUUGGCUUCAGUGUCAGUGUUUGAAUCCUUGUUCCUUUUCUGCACUUCCAUGCCCGACUAGAAAGCCCAGAAGGACAGAGCUCUUGUCCACCUUCUUUUCCACCAUCCCCUAUGACAUAGCAUAGAGCCUGGCACAUGCCAGUUAUUCAAUAAAUAUUCGUUGAGUGAAUGAUUAUUCGCUGAAUGAACUCUGUAUGUAGUGUGCAAAUGAGUUAAUUAUGAGUUAACAAAUCUAGUUUGGUCAAUAAAAUAUCUUUGGCUAGUUAAUCGAUGGUGUAGGAGGGAAAAGCAUGAGGGCCUUUCGAAGAUGGAAAAUGUAGAAAUUAUUGGCCUAGGUCAUUGGCUCAUAAAAGGAAGCUGCACUUUUGUAAAAGUUUGCCUUCAGGAUUAGAUAAAUCCAACAAGUUUGGAUUCAGUGGGUGUGAGGUGGUGCUUGGGCUUCCCAGGUGAUUCUGGAGGGACCAGGCCAGUAUGUGGGUAUGGCAGUGUGAAUCCCCUCCUGUUCUGUUUCUUUUUUCUUUUUUCCCGUCUCGUUCAACUUUUGCUUGAACACUUUGAGCCGUGGGAGCUAACUACCUCACAAAGCAGGCUGCCCCCACGACAACAGCAACAACAGCAACGAAGACAUCGAUACAGUGACCCUAUAUACUGAGCACUUCUUACGUGUUAAGCACUACACAUAUGUUACCGAAUCCAAAGGCCAGGCAUUAUUUAUCCCCAUUUUACAGUGCAAGCAACUGAAACUGGAGUUCAGUGGUUUGUUCAGUGUCUCAGAGGUGGUGAGGGGCAGGCUUGUCUGGCCAUGUGCUUCCCCAGGGCCCUGAGCUGGUCCCUGGUGGUGGUGGUGGAGGCGGGGGUGGGCCUAACUCCCGGGGAGGAGGCCGAGGGGAGCCUGCCACAUCCGCAGGCCCUGCCCAGGCUCCAGACUCUGCUCCGCCCAGCUCUCUGAUCCUCCCCAUAGAAGGUAAACCCAGGCAGGAUCCCAGGAGGCCUGGCCGGCCUGGUGUCUUGCUGGUUUCAGUUUCUGAAGAGCCCAGCCCUGAGCAAACACAGGCGGGGGAGGAGGGUUCUGGAAGCCUUCCCAACAGAUAGCAGAUUAACUCCCUGCUGCCUGGGAGACACCCACGGGGGAAGGGCUGGGUUACCAGCCUGCAGCCUCACAGCCCUCACAGGCGGGCAGGACACUGCUGGCUUGCCGGGGGCCACCUGAAGCCUGAGAAGGCACACACCCACCUGCCAAGACGCCAUGACUUCUGGGCAGCUCAAGGUUCCAGUUCAAGCCAGGCUCUCCCUGGGACCUCUGGGCUUGGGGAGAAAAGGCUGAGGGGCCUCCCCAACCCCACCCUCCAAAUAUGGACUCAUCUUCCUGCCUCAGCGGGGCCCCUUCCCUCCCUCACUAGGGCGUUCCUGUUCCAACGUGUUAGCAAACCCCUUCCAAUGUUUGUUUUCUUUCUGAGAAAGAGGCUGAGGGACUUUGCCAAGACCAACAUGAACUCAAAACACAGGGCAUUCUCUGUCUGUCGGGCAUUUUUCUGGACAGACAGACCUAGGUCUGAAAACUAGUCCUGCCACUUCCUAGCUGGUGACCUUUGUGUAAAUUUCUUAAUCGCUCUGAAAAAAUGGGGAUGAUGAUACUUAUCUUUAAGGUAUGUUUUGAGGAGCAGAUUAGAUAAAUAUAGAUUAUACAUAUUAAGUACUUAGUGCCCGCCAUCAAAGGCAAUUAACAUUAUCAUUAAUUAUAUUGUUAUUACGAAUGACUAAUAACCCACUCAGGAUUAUUGCUAAUGCUGCUGUGAGCGUAAGUGUAAAAAAAAAAAAAAGACUCAAUUAAAAAUUUUUACUGAGGGAAAUAGUUUUAUAAUGGGUAAAUAAAGGAAGAAGAAUAACACAUGAUUUCAUUUAAUGUUCAAACAGUUUCACGAGGCAGGGUUAUUAUCCCCAUUCUACAGAAGAAGCAGUUGAGGUCUCUGGAGGUUAAGUAACUUGCCCAUGUCGCACACUGAGUUAGUGGCUGGUGUCCUGGCCCUUGUGGUAUCCGCUAAGACCCUCCGCUUCAUAUCUGCCUGCCUCAGCUGAGAUGCUUCCAUGUGCCAGGAAUGCCUUCGCGUUGCCCAUGCCCUCAUCAGCUUAGAGGACAACAAGCCAGCUCUGAAAACUGGCUAGAGGCAACCUCCUCCAGGCAGCUUUCCGAAUUCUCUCCUUCCUCUCCUUGCAGAACUAAACCCUCCCUCUUUUGUUCUCCUUGUGCCUGAGACACGUGACUAGACACUCUUGUGGCUUUGUGUCUCUUCUCCAGGGAAUGUGUUCCUCUAAGGAAGACAGCACACAUUUUUUUUCACUUUGAGGGGGUCAGUAUGUGGUUAUAGUUAAGGAGCUGGGCAUUGAAGCAGGACUGCCCAGGCUCCCAUCUUGGCUUUACUGCUUGCUGGCUGUGAGGCUUGAAUAAAUGAUUUAACCUCUCUCAUUUUCAAUUCUUUUAUCCAUAAAAUGGAGAUUAACAAUGAGAUCAGCUGCAUGAGGUUACUGUAAGAAUUGAAUGAGUUCGUAUAUGUAAGGAAGGCAGGAUCACUGAAGGUCCUGAAUUUUGCUUGCUAACAGAAAAUGAAACAAAAAGAAUGGUACUGAACGUGCGGGAAGCAUGAGGUCUCAAGAAUCCAUCUGUAACUUAAGGCAUUGGGCCUCCUCACCAGGGAUCGCACUGCAUUCUGGGUAUCGCCUCACACCAGACCUGGACACGACCUCUAUCACUGAAGAGAAAAGCAACCAUGAUAUCCUGGCAUCUACAAAAGACGUCCAUUCAUGCAAACAUUCCCCACCUCAUCUGAUACAUAUUAUGAAGUGCUAUGCAUUAGAUCCUGUGCUCGGCACAGACAUGCACAUUCUUAUAAACUGUCUGUGGAAUCUGAGUUCAAACCUCAGCUUCUUUCAGUCCUAUUGAUUUGAUCUUGUGUGUGUUAGCCUCUGUUCCUCAGAUCCAGUUCCUUCUUUCUAAUUCCCUAUCUCAGCCAUGACAUCACCAUCAUCUUCCUGUCCCCGUUCAGAACCCUAGAAAUGAUUUUAUUCUCCUCACUAACCCUCUCUGUAAUGUCCAAUCAACCCCCAGUGAUGCGUGAUUUAACUCCUACAUAUCUCUUUGUCAUUGGCCUCAUCUCUAAUCCGUUCCACAGGUAUUCUUUGAGGAGUCUAUGUCCCAGGCUCUCUGCUGGACAUGAGGUUACCUGUCCCCAAUGAGUUCUCAGACUGGUCCGGUACACCCACAAACACAUAAUUCCCCUACAGUGAAUGGGUGUGAUGACACUAUAACCCCACUUUUAACUGCACACUUAAUCAUUGCCAAACACUGUUCU
Herpailurus yagouaroundi (jaguarundi) is the source of this 4651-nucleotide long non-coding RNA. RefSeq lists it as uncharacterized. The transcript has 3 exons. The record is from RefSeq and is a predicted model, not a curated record. NCBI's taxonomy places the organism in Eukaryota, Metazoa, Chordata, Mammalia, Carnivora, Felidae.